This is a long non-coding RNA of Schistocerca americana (American grasshopper), 474 nucleotides long. RefSeq lists it as uncharacterized. The record is from RefSeq and is a predicted model, not a curated record. The transcript has 3 exons. NCBI's taxonomy places the organism in Eukaryota, Metazoa, Arthropoda, Insecta, Orthoptera, Acrididae.
UAGCAGUAGGCACAUGACACAAAUUUUGCGUUUUAACAAAGUUGCAAGAACUCAGAUCAGGUUGCCCAAAAUGACCCAUAUGACGAAGAUGCAAUGAAAAUUGGUGAAUAUGUUUUCCUUCUACUGGAAGGACUGGCCGUAAUGUCUCUGUUGGAUAUGCCUCUGUUGGAUAUUUCAUCUGCACUGACUACACCAUCUUUGGCUUUAUCACAAGAAAGAAUGCAGUCUACAUCAUGAUUCAUACCUGCUUAACAAGUAACUGAAUCUUUGUGUGCUACAACUACUGAAAAGAAGACCAAAUAUAGUAGUGGUGAUGUCACCCACCAUCAUCUCCUUUGCUUGAACUCUUGCUUAAAGUCCAUAUCAGAUGUCUCUUCUUUUCGUACAAAUUGACAAUAUCAUUAGUGUCAAAUAAAAUCCAGGACAUAAAAAAUACAAUGUGCAUAACAAAACAGUAAAUGUCCAGUGAAUACA